RNAcentral lists this ribosomal RNA (252 nucleotides) under uncultured bacterium. Its description in RNAcentral is "partial 16S ribosomal RNA". It matches the Rfam family "Bacterial small subunit ribosomal RNA", at positions 524 to 775 of the family's 1533-position model. The record is from RNAcentral.
UACGUAGGGUGCAAGCGUUGUCCGGAGUUAUUGGGCGUAAAGAGCUCGUAGGCGGUCUGUCGCGUCUGCUGUGAAAACCUAGGGCUUAACUCUGGGCGUGCAGUGGGUACGGGCAGGCUAGAGUGCGGUAGGGGAGACUGGAAUUCCUGGUGUAGCGGUGAAAUGCGCAGAUAUCAGGAGGAACACCGGUGGCGAAGGCGGGUCGCUGGGCCGUAACUGACGCUGAGGAGCGAAAGCAUGGGGAGCGAACGG